Crotalus tigris (Tiger rattlesnake) is the source of this 521-nucleotide long non-coding RNA. RefSeq lists it as uncharacterized. NCBI's taxonomy places the organism in Eukaryota, Metazoa, Chordata, Lepidosauria, Squamata, Viperidae. The record is from RefSeq and is a predicted model, not a curated record. The transcript has 3 exons.
AUGCAAAUAACAGGAACAGUAGAUGUGGCCAUUCUGUAAUGAGUACAAGACAGUCAGCCUGGUUUGGAGUAGAGGAGAAUGAGUGAGUUAUCAGCUGUACCCAGCUGUGGUUCUGGUGCUAGCUAAUAACCCCCAUGUAUCAUCCUGCCUUGGCUUUCAUUUGUUUUCUCCUAAAUGGAAACUUGAAGGACACUUCUAAACAGAGACGCCUGGGAACUAUCCUGGAAUCCACAUACAACAGACUGAGAAGAGAUCACAUUACUUGGGUCACUGUAGAAGUUUGUGGCUCCCUGCUGGUUUAUUUAUUUUGCCAAGUUCUAAAUUCAUAUGCAAAAAAACUCACGAGCAAGGCUUUCUCUGAAGGAUCUAAUAAAAAGUACAUACAUAAAGAGCAAAACCGACUGACUUUGCAGUGUGUUAAGUGACAGAGGAGCAUACAUGUUGAACUUUCCCAUGGAAGAAAGUGCAAAGUGAAAGAUAGAAAACAGCCAAAAGAUCUGCAACAGAUUUACAAUCUGAGU